This 73-nucleotide transfer RNA is filed under the name Merluccius polli (Benguela hake). Its description in RNAcentral is "tRNA-Gly". It matches the Rfam family "tRNA". From Rfam's summary of the family: Transfer RNA (tRNA) molecules are approximately 80 nucleotides in length. Their secondary structure includes four short double-helical elements and three loops (D, anti-codon, and T loops). The record is from RNAcentral. Lineage: Eukaryota; Metazoa; Chordata; Actinopteri; Gadiformes; Merlucciidae.
GCCAAUGGUGGUUCAGUGGUAGAAUUCUCGCCUGCCACGCGGGAGGCCGGGUUCGAUUUCCCGGCCAAUUGCA